RNAcentral lists this long non-coding RNA (717 nucleotides) under Marmota monax (woodchuck). The record is from RNAcentral. Lineage: Eukaryota; Metazoa; Chordata; Mammalia; Rodentia; Sciuridae.
CCGGUUUCGAGGCUCCUGGGGGCCUGGGCGAGUGCCAGCACUUAUUUGUGCAGGCUGAUUCGGAUUUACGUGUCUACGGUAGCCCACAAGGUUGUUGCAGAGCAGUCCUCCCAAAAAUAUCCAGUUAGGUGUCGUCCAACACAUCUUAACCAGAAGGGCAAGCAGCGUACUCACUGUUUCUUCCUGGCGCCCUACGACACAGCUGAGGAUCCAGAGUCUUGGCUCUCAUGGAGAUUUAGUGCGACGAAUAGGAAAAUAAAAAUGAAAGCGCAAGGCAAAUUCAAAUAGAGGUAUAAAGAAGUCUAAACAGGAUGCACGUGCUGUGUGGCUUUGUAAUGAUGCUAAACCUGUAGUUUGCUACGUUUUGGAGUUUGUGGUUUUUGUUUUGAGGUUUUUAAGAGCGGUUUCAGAUCCCAAAUGCGAGAAUUUGGAAUGAAUUCCCCCUUCUGAAGCAUUUUACCUCAAACUUUAGGUCCCCCAUACGUGAAUAACUGACCUCAGUUACCUGACUUCAAAACAACAUAAACUGAGGGAUCUGAGCCACUGACACUUUUAAGAGCUUAGGCUGUGGCAAGAUUAAUUCAUGUCUGCUUCUCUGAACACCCAGAGAUUAGACUGCAACAGAAUGAAGUCCUGUUAGCCAAGUGGGUUCAAAUAUUCAAAGAAAAAAAAAAGAUGACAUUUGCUGUGGCCUUGUGCUUUGUGACUAGUUUUCUG